This 2901-nucleotide unclassified non-coding RNA is filed under the name Venturia canescens. RNAcentral describes it as "uDP-glucuronosyltransferase 1A3-like, transcript variant X2". The record is from RNAcentral. Lineage: Eukaryota; Metazoa; Arthropoda; Insecta; Hymenoptera; Ichneumonidae.
CUAAAAUUAAAUUCUUUCAGUAUACUUUCUUUCGUCGUCGAUUCACAGUUCUGUAUUCUAAAACGUAUUCAUCGUAUGCCAGGAGCUAAUUCGAAUGUGAGAUAAAAGUAUACAACGCGGCGGAAGAAAAUGCGAAUGAAUAGCCGGUCGGGAACGAACGAUACACACAGCAGCCCACGACCGUUCGUUGCCCACGCUGUACACUGUGUUCAUACGCGGGUUUCGCGUUCGCGUAUGUUCCAGACUCUCCACACACUUCAUCGUGAGUUUCGUUCGGCCCGUUGGCCAAGAACAGAGAUCGAGUCGCGUUAGGAUAUUCGGAAAACACGAAAUAUUAAUAAAAAAAAAAGUUUUUUUUCUCUUAACCUCAAAAUAAGGGAGGGAAAACAGAUUUCGCGAUGUUGAUUCGUAAUUUUUUCAUCAGUUAUUUGUUUUUCUACCUCGUCAGUUGUUCGGUUUCCUUCAAAUCACCGCAAUCCGCGCUUGUAAUCGGAUUCGAAAAAUCUUACGAACAAUCCCUGCUCGCCCACACACUUUUCCAACAAGGCAUCGAGUCCACACUCAUCGUUACCGCCGGUGCACAUCUGUACGAAAAUCUGCAGGGCAUCGAAGUCUUGAAAUUGAACACAAAUGAUAAUCCCUCGGCUGAUAAAGCAGCUCUCAAUGCUUGCGAAAAUUUAUUGACGGAUGAAAAUAUUCUCAAAAGAGUUCGAGAGAUUCAACCGACCUUCGUCAUCUUCCCAGCACUCAGACACGACGCUUGUUUGCUGCCAUGGGUUCAGUUCAUCAAUUCCAUUCCGGUUAUCGCGACCUAUGGCCCCGAAGAAGAUUUGUACUCGGUGCAGCGAACUUCGAUUGCUCUGCCGAUUCACACGGGCGGCCUCUGGGCAGGAUUUUGGGCGAACGCUGACUCGAGCUCGAUUAUCGCCAACACGAACAAUGCCUACGUGACUCCAGCUCUGAAAUUGAUCAAGGAACGUUUACCGGAAUCGGAAAUCGACUUUGAUAAGCUUUACUCCAAAGUCGAUCUCAUUCUGAGCUCGAGCGAUCCGAUUUUGCGUUCAGAUUUUGCACAGCUAGGACAACAACCCGUCCGUAUUGGUUGUCACCACUGCCGAGGCGCUCAUCCCCUGCCUCCGGCGUUGCAGAAAGAAUUGGUUGAAUUUCGCCUGGGAACUGUAGUUGCGACCCUCGACGAAAGUUUCGCUCCGAUCAUCGAAGAAUUAGCUCGAAAUUUGCCUCAAGGUAGGCAAGGCUUGGCGAUAGCUUGGAAAAAUUCCGAUGUCAAGCUCGAGGAGGAAAAGAAGCCCGAAAAUUUAUUUGUUCAUGGUGAAGUCGAUCGACAAGAUUUAAUAGGAUACGCGAGAACGAGAGUUCUCUUGAGUCAUUGUCCAGAGUCCGAGCUUCUCGAAGCGGUGUUCCACGGAACCCCGAUAAUAUGUUUCCCACGAGAUUUUUACGAGCGCUCGAACGAGAAGCAGGCGAUAGAAUUGGGAUUUGCGAGUCCGAGGAGCGACGGGACGACGAGUAUCAACGCGAUUGUCACGGCCGUAGAGCUCGUCCACAAGUCAACAGGUUAUCGAGAGGUGGCGAGAAGUUUUUCCUCCAUAAUUCGUGACAGACCAUUGCCCGCUUCGGAUAGUCUCGUUUAUUGGCUCGGCUACGUGGCGAGGAAUGCUGAGAGGCCGAUAAAACCGCCUGUUCUGAGAGCCAAUGAGAUUCGAACAUUGAUCGGAGAUUCCGAGCUUUUGUCGAGUUUUAUUAUCGGUAUUAUUAUCGGUGCGAUUCUCACAUUGACUGCGAUGUUCGCCUGGUUCAAAUCGAAGAGCAUUCAGAAGCACAACCGCAAGGAAAAAAGGUGUUUCGGUUCGUUAGAAACUCUCAAAGCUCAGUCAAUUCUGUCGAUGAGUGAAAAAAGAUAAAGGUCGAUGGGCUUUGUUACAACGGGUCAAGUGUCCUCUUCGUUGUCUCAUUUAUUCCAGUUAUACGGCAUCGGGUUAUUCCCGAUUCUCUUACGCGGUGAGGUGUACUAAUAAAAUACUGUUAACUAAGAAAGAAACGAAUCUACGCGAGAAAUAUCAUUACGUCAGUCCUUUUUCUAUAAAUAUUUACACAUUCAUUAUUCGUUAUCUUAUAUUAUAGAUAUUCGUGAAUAGUAAGAAAAAGGAAGAAGGGGAUUUUUAUGUACAUUAUCAUUGGCGGAUCGGUGCUCGCGAUAGUAGAAAAAAUUGUUAAACAAUCGUCGAAUCCUCGACGCUACUCGAUUCUAAAAAGCUUCUCUUCUUCCAGGGCACAUGAAAAAUCUUCGUGAAAAACAUCGGAGACGAAAUGUCAAUUCGAUCACACUUUUUUCUUCGUAAUUUUUCACAUUUUGUGUUAUGGCAACACUUCUUCAAUGAUCGAUGCUGCUGAUUUGGAUUUUUCACAGCGAGCUCUCAUUCAUACGAAAAAAAACUGGUUCAAUGUCAACUUUGUCACUGCAGUUCUAUCGCUCAUGAGCUACUGGUAACAAGAUAGUGAAAAAAUCGAUUUUCCUCGGUUCACAGCUCCUGCUACGCUGUACGCUGAUGUUCGCAGCAUCGAAAAUUCGACGAUUAAAAAAGUGUUAAUUUGGCAAAAACAUGUGCCUCGAGCUCCACCCUCGAGAUAGUGGACGCGACGUGACAAAUCAGUCUCCAUUUCGAGAGAAAAUGUAAGUUUUUAUCAAAACGUCACUAAUUGUCAUUCUUCAAGGUUCUCGAUAACAAUCGCUGUUCUGCAUCUCGCCUGAAGAUGAUAUGGAAUACAAAUAGGUACAAGAAAAAUCGAUCAACCCAAUUCGGCCAGAGUUCUCCAUUCUGCUUCUCUUUCUUUUCGCUCAACCAAUGCCACUGUCUUUUUGAGACUCCGGGGGCUUCCAGC